GGUGUCAAUCGACACCCA
This 18-nucleotide small nuclear RNA is filed under the name Arabidopsis thaliana (thale cress). RNAcentral describes it as "snRNA_06486". Lineage: Eukaryota; Viridiplantae; Streptophyta; Magnoliopsida; Brassicales; Brassicaceae. The record is from RNAcentral.